CCUACGGGUGGCAGCAGUGAGGAAUAUUGGUCAAUGGACGAGAGUCUGAACCAGCCAAGUAGCGUGAAGGAUGACUGCCCUAUGGGUUGUAAACUUCUUUUAUGUGGGAAUAAAAUGUUCCACGUGUGGGAUUUUGUAUGUACCAUAUGAAUAAGGAUCGGCUAACUCCGUGCCAGCAGCCGCGGUAAUACGGAGGAUCCGAGCGUUAUCCGGAUUUAGUGGGUUUAAAGGGAGCGUAGGUGGAUUGUUAAGUCAGUUGUGAAAGUUUGCGGCUCAACCGUAAAAUUGCAGUUGAAACUGGAAGUCGUGAGUACAGUAGAGGUGGGCGGAAUUCGUGGUGUAGCGGUGAAAUGCUUAGAUAUCACGAAGAACUCCGAUUGCGAAGGCAGCUCACUGGACUGCAACUGACACUGAGGCUCGAAAGUGUGGGUAUCAAACAGGAUUAGAUACCCGGGUAGUC
Molecule: ribosomal RNA, 460 nt
Filed under: uncultured bacterium
Lineage: Bacteria
Description: partial 16S ribosomal RNA
Rfam family: Bacterial small subunit ribosomal RNA
Source: RNAcentral